Molecule: ribosomal RNA, 509 nt
Filed under: uncultured bacterium
Lineage: Bacteria
Description: bacterial SSU rRNA
Rfam family: Bacterial small subunit ribosomal RNA
Source: RNAcentral
GAUUAUGGCUCAGGAUGAACGCUAGCGACAGGCUAACACAUGCAAGUCGAGGGCAGCAUAAAAGUAGCAAUACGUUGGUGGCGACCGGCGCACGGGUGAGUAGCGCGUAUGCAACCUACCUAUCAGAGGGGAAUAACCCGGCGAAAGUCGGACUAAUACCGCAUAAAACAGGGACACCGCAUGGUGAUAUUUGUUAAAGAAAUUCGCUGAUAGAUGGGCAUGCGUUCCAUUAGGUAGUUGGUGAGGUAACGGCUCACCAAGCCGACGAUGGAUAGGGGAACUGAGAGGUUGGUCCCCCACACUGGUACUGAGACACGGACCAGACUCCUACGGGAGGCAGCAGUGAGGAAUAUUGGUCAAUGGGCGAGAGCCUGAACCAGCCAAGUCGCGUGAAGGAAGAAGGAUCUAUGGUUCGUAAACUUCUUUUGCAGGGGAAUAAAGUGCAGGACGUGUCCUGUUUUGUAUGUACCCUGAGAAUAAGGAUCGGCUAACUCCGUGCCAGCAGCUGC